AAGACCUUGCACUUUUGGAGCGGCCGAUGUCUGAUUAGCUAGUUGGUGGGGUAAUGGCCUACCAAAGCUUCGAUCAGUAGCUGGUCUGAGAGGACGACCAGCCACACUGGGACUGAGACACGGCCCAGACUCCUACGGGAGGCAGCAGUGGGGAAUUUUGGACAAUGGGGGCAACCCUGAUCCAGCCAUUCCGCGUGAGUGAAGAAGGCCUUCGGGUUGUAAAGCUCUUUCGCAAGGGAAGAAACGAUGUAAGUUAAUAGCUUAUGUUAAUGACGGUACCUUGACAAGAAGCACCGGCUAACUACGUGCCAGCAGCCGCGGUAAUACGUAGGGUGCAAGCGUUAAUCGGAAUUACUGGGCGUAAAGCGUGCGCAGGCGGUUUUAUAAGUCAGAUGUGAAAUCCCCGAGCUCAACUUGGGAACU
Molecule: ribosomal RNA, 423 nt
Filed under: uncultured bacterium
Lineage: Bacteria
Description: bacterial SSU rRNA
Rfam family: Bacterial small subunit ribosomal RNA
Source: RNAcentral